GGAGCAUCUUGAAGCACAGCAGACUGGCAAGGGCACAGUGUGCUGCUUUCCAUGGAAACACAACACAGCUCAAGCUGUUGUGGCAGCACUGUCCAAGUUCACUUGUCUGCUUCACAUCUGCAGACUGGAUUGCCUACGCAUCAGUGAUGAGAGAACCAAGACAUAGCCAGCACAGCCUGGCUGAGGCUGGACAAAGCAGGGGCAUGCAGAGGUGACUAGCAAGCACACUCCUAUCUUCCAUGCAAAGAGUGAACACUAGAAGAGGAAUUCUGAUGACUCGGACCAGCGUUUUGAACGGAAAAGAAAGUGGAGGUUCUAACCUUUUUCUAGUUUGUUUCUGUAAAUACAUUAUCAGUAAAUAGAGGGCUAAGGAGAAUCUCCAUCUUUUAUUGAAUGCAGGGAGAAACAUAGUAACAAAGGUUGAGGAAAAGGCUGAGGUACUGAAUUCCUUCUUUGCCUCAGCCUUUGACAGUAAGACCAGCUAGUUGUUGGGGGACCCACCCUUCCUGAGCUGAAAGAUAGGGACAAGGAGCAGAAUGAACUGCCCAUAAUCCAAGGUGAAGUGGUCAGUGACCUGCUACACCACUGAGACGCACACCAGUCUAUAGUGCUGGAUGGGAUCUACACAAGGGUGUUGAGGGAGCUGGUGGAAGUGCUCACCAAGCCACUUUCCAUCAUUUAUCAGCAGUCCUGGGUAACCGGGACAGGUUCCAGUUGACUGGAGGUUGUCAAAUGUGACGCCCAUCUACAUGAAGGACAGGAAGGAGGACCUGGGGAACUACAGGCCUGUCAGCCUGACCUCAGUGCAGGAGAAGGUUAUGGAGCAGAUCAUCCUGAAUGCCAUGACACAGCAAAUACGAGACAAGCAGGUGAUCGGGCCCAGUGAGCGUGGGUCUCUGAAAGGCAGGUCCUGCUUGACUAACCUGAUCUCCAUCCAUGACAGGGUGACCUGCUUAGUGUAUGAGGGAUAGGUUGUGGAUGCUGCCAACCUAGACUUUAGUAAAUAAUAGACACCAUUUCCCACAGCAUUCACCAGGAGAAACUGGCUGCUCAUGGCUUGGAUGGGUGUACUGUUCACUGGGUUAAAAACUGGCUGGAUGGCAGAGCCCAAAGAGUGGUGGUAAAUGGAGUUCAAUCCAGCUGGCAGCUAGUCACAAGUGGUAUUCCCCAGGGCUCAGUACUGUGGCCAGUUCUGUUUAAUAUCUUUAUCAAUGAUCUGCACAAGAGGACUGAGUGCACCAUCAGUAAGUUUGCAGGUAACGUAACACCAAACUGGCUGGGAGUGCUGAUCGGCUGAAAGACAGGAAGGCUCUGCAGAGGGAUCUAUACAGACUGGAUUGAUGGGCUGUGGACAAUGGUAUAAGGUUCAAUAAGGCAAAGUGCCGCAUCCUGAAUUUGGGCCACAGCAACCCCAUGCAAUGCUACAGGCUUGAGAAGAGUGGCUGGCAAGCUGCUCAAGUGGAAAAGGACCUGGGGGUGCUGAUUGACAAAUGCUGAACAUGAGCCAGCUUGCGCCCAGGCAGCCAAGAAACAAAGCUGUCUCAAAUCUGAGUACCGACAGAGUAAUUUGUAAUAGGGCUGAGUGACUGAUACACAUGUAUUCCCCUUGCAUUUGCUGGAAUACACUGUACAGACUGCCUCUCAGUGUAUGCCUUCCUGAAUUUUCUUACCAUUUACAUACAAAAAUAAAGUGUCAAAUGUGUAUCUGGCCAGGCUCUGUAUUUGGAUGAAUCCCUUACCUUUUUAUUCCUCUUUCCAUCUCUGGGUUUUAUUUCUC
This is a long non-coding RNA of Strigops habroptila (Kakapo), 1777 nucleotides long. RefSeq lists it as uncharacterized. Lineage: Eukaryota; Metazoa; Chordata; Aves; Psittaciformes; Psittacidae. The record is from RefSeq and is a predicted model, not a curated record. The transcript is spliced from 4 exons.